RNAcentral lists this unclassified non-coding RNA (326 nucleotides) under soil metagenome. RNAcentral's name for it is "partial contains 5.8S ribosomal RNA, internal transcribed spacer 2, and large subunit ribosomal RNA". The stretch from base 1 to 120 matches the Rfam family "5.8S ribosomal RNA", at positions 35 to 154 of the family's 154-position model. The record is from RNAcentral.
GAUGAAGAACGCAGCGAAAUGCGAUAAGUAAUGUGAAUUGCAGAAUUCAGUGAAUCAUCGAAUCUUUGAACGCACAUUGCGCCCCUUGGUAUUCCGGGGGGCAUGCCUGUUCGAGCGUCAUUUCAACCCUCAAGCUCAGCUUGGUAUUGAGUCCAUGUCAGUAAUGGCAGGCUCUAAAAUCAGUGGCGGCGCCGCUGGGUCCUGAACGUAGUAAUAUCUCUCGUUACAGGUUCUCGGUGUGCUUCUGCCAAAACCCAAAUUUUCUAUGGUUGACCUCGGAUCAGGUAGGGAUACCCGCUGAACUUAAGCAUAUCAAUAAGCGGAGG